RNAcentral lists this unclassified non-coding RNA (79 nucleotides) under Epilithonimonas zeae. RNAcentral describes it as "Chryseobacterium zeae Flavo-1 RNA". Lineage: Bacteria; Pseudomonadati; Bacteroidota; Flavobacteriia; Flavobacteriales; Weeksellaceae. The record is from RNAcentral.
CAGCAGCCCGGCUUGAGCGGAAAUCCUUUUUACGCAACAUAGUGGAGUAAAAAGAUUGGGAGCAGAAGACGGAAAAAGC